UACGUAGGGGGCUAGCGUUGUCCGGAAUCAUUGGGCGUAAAGAGCGUGUAGGCGGCCCGGUAAGUCCGCUGUGAAAGUCGGGGGCUCAACCCUCGAAUGCCGGUGGAUACUGUCGGGCUAGAGUGCGGAAGAGGCGAGUGGAAUUCCUGGUGUAGCGGUGAAAUGCGCAGAUAUCGGGAAGAACACCCGUGGCGAAGGCGGCUCUCUGGGACGGUACUGACGCUGAGACGCGAAAGCGUGGGGAGCGAACAGG
Molecule: ribosomal RNA, 253 nt
Filed under: uncultured bacterium
Lineage: Bacteria
Description: partial 16S ribosomal RNA
Rfam family: Bacterial small subunit ribosomal RNA
Source: RNAcentral